This 591-nucleotide long non-coding RNA is filed under the name Homo sapiens (human). RNAcentral describes it as "long non-coding RNA NONHSAT155562.1". The record is from RNAcentral. Lineage: Eukaryota; Metazoa; Chordata; Mammalia; Primates; Hominidae.
GCGGGGGACCGACCUCUGCGCAGCCCAGGCCGCCGCGCGCACACACCGGGCCCGGCUCCUGAGGGCGCCAGCGCGGCCCCGGGGAGCGCGAGGAGCCGGCGAAGCGCGCGGCCUGCCGUUGGCGGCCUGGUCCGCAGCGCCCUGCGCCCACCCGCCCCGGACGUGGGGCCCAAGCCCCCGUGAAGAUGGUGUCCUGGAUGAUCUCCAGAGCCGUGGUGCUGGUGUUUGGAAUGCUUUAUCCUGCAUAUUAUUCAUACAAAGCUGUGAAAACAAAAAACGUGAAGGAAUAUGUUCGAUGGAUGAUGUACUGGAUUGUUUUUGCUCUCUAUACUGUGAUUGAAACAGUAGCCGAUCAAACAGUUGCUUGGAGAUUGAUGAUUAUAUUGUACAAGCAAAGGAACGAGGCUAUGAAACCAUGGUAAACUUUGGACGGCAAGGUUUAAACCUUGCAGCUACUGCUGCUGUUACUGCAGCAGUAAAGAGCCAAGGAGCAAUAACUGAACGUUUAAGAAGCUUCAGUAUGCAUGAUUUAACAACUAUCCAAGGUGAUGAGCCUGUGGGACAAAGACCAUACCAACCUCUACCAGAAGC